AACAUACUCCCUUCGUCCGAAAAAACUUGUUUCUCAAAUGGAUGUAUCCAGCACAAAAUUAGUAUUAGAUACAUCCAUUUGAGAAAUAAGCUAGGGACAAGUUUUUCUGGACGGAGGGAGUACUAC
Non-coding RNA from Triticum urartu, 126 nucleotides. The record is from Rfam. Lineage: Eukaryota; Viridiplantae; Streptophyta; Magnoliopsida; Poales; Poaceae.